GUCCUUCCUGUCUUGUGCGAAUCGGCGGAGUCGUUGUUUGAUAGGCUUGGCAUCUUCUUUGACAUGUAAGGAGUGCUCAAUCACCUCUCUAGGAAUACCGGGCAUAUCAGAUGGUUUCCACGCAAAGAUAUCUUUAUUGUUCUGAAGAAAGGUGAUGAGCGCGCUUUCCUAUUUACAAUCUAACUCGGCGCCUAUUACAGCAGUUUU
RNAcentral lists this unclassified non-coding RNA (207 nucleotides) under Hevea brasiliensis (rubber tree). Lineage: Eukaryota; Viridiplantae; Streptophyta; Magnoliopsida; Malpighiales; Euphorbiaceae. The record is from RNAcentral.